Molecule: ribosomal RNA, 466 nt
Filed under: uncultured bacterium
Lineage: Bacteria
Description: bacterial SSU rRNA
Rfam family: Bacterial small subunit ribosomal RNA
Source: RNAcentral
UCCAGACUCCUACGGGAGGCAGCAGUGAGGAAUAUUGGUCAAUGGGCGAGAGCCUGAACCAGCCAAGUCGCGUGAGGGAGUACUGCCCUAUGGGUUGUAAACCUCUUUUGUCGGGGAGCAAAAGCCGGACGUGUCCGGCUGUGAGAGUACCCGAAGAAAAAGCAUCGGCUAACUCCGUGCCAGCAGCCGCGGUAAUACGGAGGAUGCGAGCGUUAUCCGGAUUUACUGGGUGUAAAGGGCGUGUAGGCGGGCCUGUAAGUCAGAAGUGAAAUCUGGGGGCUUAACCCCCAAACUGCUUUUGAAACUGCGGGUCUUGAGUGAUGGAGAGGCAGGCGGAAUUCCCAGUGUAGCGGUGAAAUGCGUAGAUAUUGGGAGGAACACCAGUGGCGAAGGCGGCCUGCUGGACAUUAACUGACGCUGAGGCGCGAAAGCGUGGGGAGCAAACAGGAUUAGAUACCCCAGUACG